Molecule: long non-coding RNA, 1323 nt
Organism: Cervus elaphus (red deer)
Lineage: Eukaryota; Metazoa; Chordata; Mammalia; Artiodactyla; Cervidae
Exons: 3
Source: RefSeq, a predicted model, not a curated record
CCAGGACUCUUGCCUAGAAAAUCACAUGGAAGGAGGAGCCUGGUAAGCUACAGUCCACUGGAUUGCAAAGAGUUGCACAUGACUGAGCAACUUUACUUCAUAGAUGAGAUAUUAUUCAACCAUAAAGAGGAAUUCUGAGCUGUGCCUUUGAACACAUGGGUGAAUCUUAAAAAUAAUGUGCUAAGUGGAAUAAGCUGGACACAAAAGGACAAAUAAUGCAUGAUUCCACUUAUGUGAGGUACCUAGAGUAAUUAAAUUCAUAGAUACAGAGUGUAGAACAGAGGUUACUAGAGGCUGUGGGGAGAAGUGAGGAAGAGUUAUUAUUUAAUGUUUAAUGUUUAAGAGUUUCUGUUUGGGGUGACGGAUAGUAGUGAUGGUUGCACAAUGUUGCGAAUAUAAUUAGUGGCAUUGAACUGUACAUUUAAGAAACUGUUAGAAAGGUUAAUUUUAUAUGUUUCACCACAAUUUAAAAAAAUUUUUAAAUACUGGAUUAGUUUUAAGACAACCUCUUUUUCUACUCUCUUUCUUGCCCCUAAUAUAACUCAUUCUUAAUUUCUUUUCAGGUUUUGAGUCCUUCUGCUUUUUAAAAAAGCCCUGAUUACUGUUUUAUCUAGGAAUUCUCCUUUUCAGAGGCCCAUAACAAAGUGUUCAGCAUGCCAGGCAUGUUUUACAUGCUGUCCCGGAGGCUGGCAGCAGAAGAACCAUUCCUCUCUGUUAUGUUAGGAUUUUUAAGAAUAUAAAUGGGUCCAGGUCACAGAAUUUUAUGGCUGGGUUGAAUACUUUCCUUAUCCCCCACGUUGACAUCUUGACAGGAAUGAAAGUUUAAAGAAGAUACAGAAAAAUGGAUAGUGAAAGUCUGUAUCCUAUCACUCAGAUCUCUUAUAAAGUUGCAGUCAAGAUGUCAGCUGGGAGUGUGGUCAUCUGCAAAUUUGACUGAGGCUACAGAAUCUGCUUUCAAGAUAUCACACAAGGAAACGAAAAAAGAGAAUUGCAAAGUACUAUACCAACAGAUGAAGAAGGAAAUGGCAACCCAUUACAGCAUUCUUGCCUGGGAAAUCCCAUGGACAGAGGAACCUGGUGGGCUACAGUCCAUGGAGUUGGAAGAGCUGGACACAACUGAAUGACUAAAUCACCGCCAGGCAGACAUAAACCACCUCCACUAUGCAGACAGAAGUAGCUGUCAAAGUAGAAAGAUUAAUCACAUGGGAUCUGCUGUGAGACUAUUUGGGUUUAAAUUCUGGUGCUCCUCACUUACUAUACAACCUUGGCCAAGUUCUGAAACUUGUCUAUGCCUUAGCUUCCUUGUCUAUAAAAUGAAUUUUA